This 497-nucleotide ribosomal RNA is filed under the name uncultured bacterium. RNAcentral describes it as "partial 16S ribosomal RNA". It matches the Rfam family "Bacterial small subunit ribosomal RNA", at positions 28 to 507 of the family's 1533-position model. The record is from RNAcentral.
GAUGAACGCUGGCGGCGUGCCUAAUACAUGCAAGUCGAGCGAACAGACGAGGAGCUUGCUCCCCUGACGUUAGCGGCGGACGGGUGAGUAACACGUGGAUAACCUACCUAUAAGACUGGGAUAACUUCGGGAAACCGGAGCUAAUACCGGAUAACAUGUUGAACCGCAUGGUUCAACAGUGAAAGACGGUCUUGCUGUCACUUAUAGAUGGAUCCGCGCCGCAUUAGCUAGUUGGUAAGGUAACGGCUUACCAAGGCAACGAUGCGUAGCCGACCUGAGAGGGUGAUCGGCCACACUGGAACUGAGACACGGUCCAGACUCCUACGGGAGGCAGCAGUAGGGAAUCUUCCGCAAUGGGCGAAAGCCUGACGGAGCAACGCCGCGUGAGUGAAGAAGGUCUUCGGAUCGUAAAACUCUGUUAUUAGGGAAGAACAAAUGUGUAAGUAACUAUGCACGUCUUGACGGUACCUAAUCAGAAAGCCACGGCUAACUACGUG